RNAcentral lists this ribosomal RNA (1966 nucleotides) under human gut metagenome. Its description in RNAcentral is "bacterial LSU rRNA". It matches the Rfam family "Bacterial large subunit ribosomal RNA", at positions 1 to 1983 of the family's 2925-position model. The record is from RNAcentral.
ACAAGUUAUUAAGAGCAACGGGCGGAUGCCUUGGCGCUGAAGGCGAUGAAAGACGUGAUAAGCUGCGAUAAGCCUCGGGGAGGAGCUAAAUAUCCUAUGAUCCGUGGAUCUCUGAAUGGGGCAACCCACUGGAAGCAGUUCCAGUACCUCUUUUGAGGAGCUGACCUGGGGAAGUGAAACAUCUCAGUACCCAGAGGAAAAGAAAUCAAACGAGACUCCCAAAGUAGCGGCGAGCGAAAUGGGAUGAGGCCAAACCGGAUAGUUUCGACUAUCCGGGGUUGUAGGGCCGCCGUACGUGAUCUCGGAGUAGGCAGGAGAAGCUGGCUGGAAAGCCACACCACAGCGGGUGACAGUCCCGUAUCCGAAACCGAAAAGAGCACAGGCGGUACCUGAGUACUGCGAGGCACGUGAAACCUCGUGGGAAUCCGGGAGGACCAUCUUCCAAGCCUAAGUACGAUCCAGCGACCGAUAGUGAACCAGUACCGUGAGGGAAAGGUGAAAAGAACCCCUGUCAGGGGAGUGAAAUAGAAUCUGAAACCUGUUGCUUACAAGCUGUGGGAGCAGUUUUACGACUGUGACCAUGUGCCUUUUGCAUAAUGAGUCAGCGAGUUAAUCUGUUGUGCAAGGUUAAGCGGAAGCGGAGCCGAAGCGAAAGCGAGUCUGAACAGGGCGUUGAGUACAGCGGAUUAGACCCGAAACCGGGUGAUCUAUCCAUGAGCAGGUUGAAGCAAGGGUAAAGCCUUGUGGAGGACCGAACCAGUAUCGGCUGAAAACGAUUUGGAUGACUUGUGGAUAGGGGUGAAAGGCCAAUCAAACCCGGUGAUAGCUGGUUCUCCCCGAAAUAUAUUGAGGUAUAGCCUCAGGGAUUGUUUAUCGGAGGUAAAGCACUGACAAGGCUAGGGGUCCUACCAGAUUACCAAACCUUAUCAAACUCUGAAUGCCGAAUAAAUGUACCCUGGGAGUCAGACGGCGGGUGCUAAGGUCCGUCGUCAAAAGGGUAAGAGCCCAGAUCGACAGCUAAGGCCUCCAAUUCCAUACUCAGUGGUGAAGGUGGUGGAGUUGUUCAGACAGCCAGGACGUUGGCUUAGAAGCAGCCAUCGUUUAAAGAAAGCGUAAUAGCUCACUGGUCUAAUGAUUCUGCGCCGAAAAUGUAACGGGGCUAAGUAUGGAGCCGAAGCUUCGGAUUUGUCUUUAUGACAUCUGGUAGGGGAGCGUUCUCAGCGGGCUGAAGCUGCAGUGAAAACUGUGGUGGACUUCUGAGAAGUGAUUAUGCUGACAUGAGUAACGAUAAAACAGGUGAAAAACCUGUUCGCCGAAAACCCAAGGUUUCCUGGGUAAAGUUAAUCUUCCCAGGGUUAGUCGGUCCCUAAGGAGAGGGCGAAAGCCGUAUCUGAUGGAAAACGGGUUAAUAUUCCCGUACUUGCAUGGAUGUGCGAUGGAGGGACGCAGUAAGAUAGGUGAUCCGGGUGUUGGAUAUCCCGGUGCAAGCGUGUAGGAGUGAAGGGCAGGCAAAUCCGUUCUUCUUAUCCGAGACGCGAGUCCGAGCCGCAAGGCGGAAGUCAUUGAGUCUACACUGCCAAGAAAAGCUUCUAAGUUUAGUCCAUGUGAACCGUACUCGAAACCAACUCAGGUGGGUGGGAUGAAUAAUCCAAGGCGCUCGAGAGAAUUCUGGCUAAGGAACUCGGCAAAAUGACCCCGUAACUUCGGAAGAAGGGGUGCUCCUCUGUGUGAGUUUAUUUACUAUGCAAGCACGAGGGAGCCGCAGUGAAUUGGUGGUGGCGACUGUUUACUAAAAACAUAGGUCUGUGCGAAGUCGCAAGACGACGUAUACGGACUGACGCCUGCCCGGUGCCGGAAGGUUAAAAGGAGAGGUCAGCGCAAGCGAAGCCUUGAAUUGAAGCCCCGGUAAACGGCGGCCGUAACUAUAACGGUCCUAAGGUAGCGAAAUUCCUUGUCGGGUAAGUUC